CUUCAUCAUCUUCAAGUAUUUUCAUAUAUUACUCAAUUGCUCAAGCUCUUAAAUACAUAAUUGGAAUGAAAAGACAAUUGGAAUGCUGCCAAAAGAGGCAUUAAAAGUCUCAUCAAUCAAUGCUGGUUUUGUGGACUGUGAAUUAACUGAGACUCAAGGAUCUUCUUCUGCCCAGAUUGGGUGUAGACUGGCUACUAGUCAAUUAAAACCCUUCUCCCCACCACAUGAACCCAGACUCAGAGCUCUGACCCAAAGAAAUAGCACUCAGUCAUCUAACCAGAAAAUGAAAGCUGGUGGAGGCAAGUGCACAAGUCCACUGGUAGCCAACAACCCUCUGGGUACCUCACCUUCAUCUCUAUCCAAGGCUGAUCAAAGAGGACGAAAAUCCCAUCUUCUGCUAGAUAUUGAGUCUAUUGCAUACCAAAAAAUCUGUUAAGAUUCUUCAGAACCAGAUGAGUUGGUUUCUUACCCUAGCUGGGAACAAGCCCUCAGGAAUUUUAAGGCAUGCUUCCUCCUGCUCGUCUAAGAUUGCCAGCCUUGACUACAAAAGAAAUAAUUGACUCCUGUGACUGUUGGAUAGGCCUCUGAAUGGAGACAUCACAAGGAUUGAGAAUGCCAUGAAUUAUCAGGCCUACUUUACCUCCUGGCACUUUUGACCUCAUUCACCAUGUGGUGUAGUGAAAAAGGUCCUAGAUUUGGCAGCCCUACCUUAGAUGAUCGUUGGCUCCCACUGGCUGUCGUCUCUCCCACCAAACAAAAUAAAAAACAAAAAUCAGGAACCUACAAUAAAUCAGAGUGGAUGAAGCCGAGUUACCAGCCAGCCAACCAAAUCAAGUGCAGCCUAAAUAUGACUGCCCAGAACACGAGAUACUCCAAAUUCUUUGGAAGGGGAGCUGAAGGGACUGUCAAAGCCAUGACUCUCCCAGGUCUUGCAUGACAACAACAGGAAAGUCAGAAAGCCCUGAACCAUCAACCAUACUGAUACACACCUGGAGCCAGCUGGUCACAAACCAAAUGGCAACCUCAUGCUAUUUCUAUAGCUACCCAGAGGAAUGGUUGACUACUGCCAGGUGCCAAUUUGUCAAUGAGCUUAAUCCUGCUACCCAAUAAUUUAUAGUGGUUGCCUUUUCAAGAAGAUGGCUGGUGUUUGCCUUGUGAACUUAUUUCCUUAAGGAUUUGUAAAUUUGCAGUAAAUAGUCUUCUGGGGAUUGAAAACUUGGAAAAGAAGACAGACAGGAAUUUAAAAUGUGAAGGGGAAGAAGAAAAUAAAUAGCCUGUUUCCCUGUCACAUGUCUGGGGAAAUGGAUGUAGGAAUCAGUAGUUUAAAAGGUCAUUUUUAUAUAGCUAUUGCAACUAAAUUUGUGAAAUAAAG
Non-coding RNA from Phascolarctos cinereus (koala), 1372 nucleotides. The record is from RefSeq and is a predicted model, not a curated record. NCBI's taxonomy places the organism in Eukaryota, Metazoa, Chordata, Mammalia, Diprotodontia, Phascolarctidae.